GAUGAACGCUGGCGGCGUGCCUAAUACAUGCAAGUCGAGCGAACAGAUGAGGAGCUUGCUCCUCUGACGUUAGCGGCGGACGGGUGAGUAACACGUGGAUAACCUACCUAUAAGACUGGGAUAACUUCGGGAAACCGGAGCUAAUACCGGAUAAUAUAUUGAACCGCAUGGUUCAAUAGUGAAAGACGGUUUUGCUGUCACUUAUAGAUGGAUCCGCGCCGCAUUAGCUAGUUGGUAAGGUAACGGCUUACCAAGGCAACGAUGCGUAGCCGACCUGAGAGGGUGAUCGGCCACACUGGAACUGAGACACGGUCCAGACUCCUACGGGAGGCAGCAGUAGGGAAUCUUCCGCAAUGGGCGAAAGCCUGACGGAGCAACGCCGCGUGAGUGAUGAAGGUCUUCGGAUCGUAAAACUCUGUUAUAGGGGAAGAACAAAUGUGUAAGUAACUAUGCACGUCUUGACGGUACCUAAUCAGAAAGCCACGGCUAACUACGUG
This 497-nucleotide ribosomal RNA is filed under the name uncultured bacterium. RNAcentral's name for it is "partial 16S ribosomal RNA". It matches the Rfam family "Bacterial small subunit ribosomal RNA", at positions 28 to 507 of the family's 1533-position model. The record is from RNAcentral.